This 406-nucleotide ribosomal RNA is filed under the name uncultured bacterium. RNAcentral's name for it is "partial 16S ribosomal RNA". It matches the Rfam family "Bacterial small subunit ribosomal RNA", at positions 28 to 526 of the family's 1533-position model. The record is from RNAcentral.
GAUGAACGCUAGCUACAGGCUUAACACAUGCAAGUCGAGGGACGGGCGCACGGGUGAGUAACACGUAUCCAACCUUCCCUUUACUCGGGGAUAGCCUUUCGAAAGGAAGAUUAAUACCCAUUCUAAAGGAUGGGGAUGCGUUCCAUUAGGUUGUGGGUGAGGUAACGGCUGACCAAGCCUUCGAUGGAUAGGGGAUCUGAGAGGAAGGUCCCCCACAUUGGAACUGAGACACGGUCCAAAAUCGUACGGGAGGCAGCAGUGUGGAAUAUUAGGCAAUGGGCGCUAGCCUGACCCAGCCGAGUGGCGUGAAGGAUGAAUGCUUAUGGGUCGUAAACUUCUUGUAUAUAAGAAGAUGUAUUAUAUGAAUAAGGAUCGGCUAACUCCGUGCCAGCAGCCGCGGUAAUUC